Molecule: ribosomal RNA, 253 nt
Filed under: uncultured bacterium
Lineage: Bacteria
Description: partial 16S ribosomal RNA
Rfam family: Bacterial small subunit ribosomal RNA
Source: RNAcentral
UACGUAGGGAGCGAGCGUUGUCCGGAUUCAUUGGGCGUAAAGAGCGUGUAGGCGGCCACACAGGUCUGCUGUGAAAACUCGAGGCUCAACCUCGAGCUGUCGGUGGAAACCGUGUGGCUAGAGUCCGGAAGAGGAGAGUGGAAUUCCCGGUGUAGCGGUGAAAUGCGCAGAUAUCGGGAAGAACACCCGUGGCGAAGGCGGCUCUCUGGGACGGUACUGACGCUGAGACGCGAAAGCGUGGGGAGCGAACAGG